AGUAUUGCAGGAGCAAAGUUCUCCGGUUUCUUGGAUUUCCCCCCUCUCCAGUUUGGAAUGGGAGGAACCAGUAUAUCAUGUGACCAAGUCUGGCAAGUCACGUGACGAGGAAGAAACUGUAGCCGGGCCGCAGGAAAGCUUUUAUCUCUGGCGGAGCUCCUCGUAACCUUGGCGAUGCGCUCUCAGCAGCGGAGGGUUGAAAUUAUGUCAUUUUUCUCUCAGAUACCUUAGUCUCGGGUGGUAUCCUGUGAUGGAGAUGUGGGUCCUCUCUUACCAUGUCUGGCUGGCGGCGCCCCAGAUGCCAUGUGAUGACCAUUUGAAGACCAGCCUGUUGGACAUCAGGUGUGCAGCAUUAUAACUCUGACUGGAAGCUCUGAGUACCUGGGCAGGGUUGUGGACACACAGACCUCACACAGGGAAACUGAUGGCCACCAUGUCACACACUGCAGUGGAAACCAUUCACAGAGGAUCCAAUGUGAGUGCCCACCUGGAGUUGUGCAGCAGUGCAGCCCUACAGGAGUACAGAUGGAGUGAGAGCUGCUUUUCUGGGAGAAAUCAGCUGUUAUGUCAUGAGGACAAUUAAGAAACUCUAUGGGACUUCCCUGGUGGCGCAGUGGUUAAGAAUACGCCUGCCAAUGCAGGGCACACAGGUUCGAGCCCUCUUCCGGGAAGAUCCCACAUGCCACAGAACAGCUAAGCCUGUAUACCAUAACUGCUGAGCCUGUGCUCUAGAGCCCGUGAGCCACAACUACUGAAGCCCGCACACCUAGAGCCCGUGCUCCGCAGCAAGAGAAGCCACUGCAAUGAGAAGCCCACGCACCACAAUGAAGAGUAGCUCCCACUCACCGCAACUAGAGAAAGCCUGAAGACCCAACGCAGCCAUAAAUAAAUAAAUAAAUAAAUAAAUUUUUUUCAAAAAGAAAAGAAACUCUAUGGAGCACUCCACAUGGCAAUAAACUGAGCUCUCCUGCCACAAGCCAGUGAAAAACAGACAUCCAGACAAGAGCCAUGUGAGUGAGUUCCUCCAGCCCCAGUUAAGCCUUCAGAUGACUACAGCCCCAGCCAACACCUUGACUGAAACCUCAUGAGAGACCUGAGCUAGAACCACCUGACUCUCAGAAAUUGUAUGAGUGUUUUCAGCAGAGAAGUUUUUAACUAUGAGGAGUACGCGGGCCUCUCACUGCUAUGGCCUCUCCCAUUGCAGAGCACAGGCUCCGGAUGCGCAGGCUCAGCGGCCAUGGCUCACGGGCCCAGCCACUCUGCGGCAUGUUGGAUCUUCCCAGACCGGGGCACAAACCCGUGUCCCCUGCAUCGGCAGGCGGACUCUCAACCACUGCGCCACCAGGGAAGCCCCAGUGUAUCUUUUAUUUAUUUUCUUGCAUUACUGCACUGGCUAAAACUUCCAAUGAUGUUGAAUAGGAGCUGUGAGAAUGGACAACUUUCCCUUGUGCCUGAUGUUGGGGAAAAGCAUUCAGUAUUUCAUGAUUAAAUAUGAUGUUAGUUGUAGGUUUUCAACUUCAUCAGGUUGAGGAAGUUCCCUUCUAUUCAUAUUUUGCUGAUAGUUAUCAUGAAUGGAUAUCAUCACAUGCCUUUUCUUCAUGUAUUGAGAUGAUCACAUGAAUUUUUUUCUUUACUCUGUUAAGAUGGUAAAUUUCAUUGAUUGAUUUUCAACCCGUAUAUGCUAGCCUUGCAUUCACAGGAUGAACUCCUCUUGGAUGUGAUUAUUACAUUUUUUACAUGCUGCUUAAUUCGAUUUGAUAAUGUAUUGUUAUAGAUUUUCCCCUCUGUGUUCAUGGGGGACAUUGGUUUGCAGUUUUUCUUUCUCGUUGUGCCUUUGAAACUGAGGGCAAUCAUCAGUUAGAUCCAUUAAACUUGUAAACUG
Molecule: long non-coding RNA, 1882 nt
Organism: Mesoplodon densirostris (Blainville's beaked whale)
Lineage: Eukaryota; Metazoa; Chordata; Mammalia; Artiodactyla; Ziphiidae
Exons: 7
Source: RefSeq, a predicted model, not a curated record